Molecule: ribosomal RNA, 253 nt
Filed under: uncultured bacterium
Lineage: Bacteria
Description: partial 16S ribosomal RNA
Rfam family: Bacterial small subunit ribosomal RNA
Source: RNAcentral
UACAGAGGUCCCAAGCGUUGUUCGGAUUCACUGGGCGUAAAGGGUGCGUAGGCGGUUAGGUAAGUCUGAUGUGAAAUCUCUGGGCUCAACCCAGAAAUGGCAUUGGAUACUAUCUAGCUAGAGGAGUGGAGGGGGGACUGGAAUACUUGGUGUAGCAGUGAAAUGCGUAGAUAUCAAGUGGAACACCAGUGGCGAAGGCGAGUCCCUGGACACCUCCUGACGCUGAGGCACGAAAGCUAGGGGAGCAAACAGG